UUAAGCCAUGCAUGUCUAAGUACAAGCCGCUAGUACGGCGAAACCGCGAAUGGCUCAAUAAAUCAGUUAUGGUUCCUUAGAUCCACCCAUCCUACUCGGAUAACUGUGGUAAUUCUAGAGCUAAUACGUGCACUCAAGCUUCUUCACGCUGAUCGCACGGUCUCGCACCGGCGACACGUCUUUCAAAUGUCUGCCUUAUCAACUGUCGAUGGUAGGUUAUGCGCCUACCAUGGUUGCAACGGGUAACGGGGAAUCGGGGUUCGAUUCCGGAGAGGGAGCCUGAGAAACGGCUACCACAUCCAAGGAAGGCAGCAGGCGCGCAAAUUACCCACUCCCGGCACGGGGAGGUAGUGACGAAAAAUAACGAUACGGGACUCUUCCGAGGCCCCGUGAUUGGAAUGAGUACACUUUAAAACCUUUAACGAGGACCCAUUGGAGGGCAAGUCUGGUGCCAGCACCCGCGGUAACUCCAGCUCCAAUAGCGUAUAUUAAAGUUGUUGCGGUUAAAAAGCUCGUACUCGGAUGUCUGUCUUCGGCCGGGCGGCGC
This 547-nucleotide ribosomal RNA is filed under the name Moina sp. 1 JRdW-2005. RNAcentral describes it as "bacterial SSU rRNA". It matches the Rfam family "Eukaryotic small subunit ribosomal RNA", at positions 44 to 662 of the family's 1831-position model. The record is from RNAcentral. Lineage: Eukaryota; Metazoa; Arthropoda; Branchiopoda; Diplostraca; Moinidae.